ACGUGCUCUAGCGGAAGCAACAACAGUCGAGAGACUAACAAAAAAGCAACUUGACGAAGACGACGGCAAGAAGGAAGCAAUGGGAGAACUUUCUGUUUGCAACUCUGUCUGCACCGGUGGGGAAAACCACACAACGGGAACUACAUAAAACAUUUGGAAAAAGAGAUGGAUCACUGUUACACUCUAGCAAAGAUGCCUGGGUUUUGUGGUGUCUGUGUUUAGUUGUUUGAAGAUGAAAAGUUCCCAGUUCUCCCUGGCCUGGAAAGUCUCCAGAACAAGCACAGAAGGCAGAGCGAAGAAGCACAGAAUGAAGCAGAGGUGCACCAUGGCGUGCAGAUGCCACC
Molecule: long non-coding RNA, 344 nt
Organism: Grammomys surdaster
Lineage: Eukaryota; Metazoa; Chordata; Mammalia; Rodentia; Muridae
Exons: 3
Source: RefSeq, a predicted model, not a curated record